RNAcentral lists this ribosomal RNA (1362 nucleotides) under metagenome. RNAcentral describes it as "bacterial LSU rRNA". It matches the Rfam family "Bacterial large subunit ribosomal RNA", at positions 1547 to 2925 of the family's 2925-position model. The record is from RNAcentral.
CAAAUAAUGCUGGGGUACGAUGCGGAGCGAAAUUUAGUAGCGAAGUAGCUGAUUUCACACUGUCGAGAAAAGUCUCUAUCGAGGUUAAAGGUGCCUGUACCGCAAACCGACACAGGUGGGUGAGGAGAGUAUCCUAAGGCCAGCGAGAGAACUGUUGUUAAGGAACUCGGCAAAAUGACCCCGUAACUUAGGGAGAAGGGGUGCCUUCGAAAGAAGGCCGCAGAGAAUAGGCCCAAGCGACUGUUUACCAAAAACAUAGGUUUCUGCUAAGUCGCAAGACGAUGUAUAGGAGCUGACGCCUGCCCGGUGCUGGAAGGUUAAGGGGAUCUGUUAGAGCAAUCGAAGCAGUGAACAUAAGCCCCAGUAAACGGCGGCCGUAACUAUAGCGGUCCUAAGGUAGCGAAAUUCCUUGUCGGGUAAGUUCCGACCCGCACGAAAGGCGUAACGAUUUGGGCACUGUCUCAACAACAGACUCGGUGAAAUUGUAAUACCGGUGAAGAUGCCGGUUACCUGCGACAGGACGGAAAGACCCCAUGGAGCUUUACUGUAGCUUGACAUUGAGUCUCGGUGCUACAUGUACAGGAUAGGUGGGAGACUAUGAAACAUGGACGUCAGUCUGUGUGGAGUCAUCCUUGGGAUACCACCCUUGUAGUACUGGGAUUCUAACCAGAGGCCAUGAAUCUGGUCUUGGGACACUGUCAGGUGGACAGUUUGACUGGGGCGGUCGCCUCCCAAAAAGUAACGGAGGCGCUCAAAGGUUCUCUCAGUACGGUCGGAAAUCGUACGAAGAGUGUAAAGGCAAGAGAGAGCUUGAUUGCAAGACAUACAGGUCGAGCAAGGACGAAAGUCGGACUUAGUGAUCCGGUGGUUCCGCAUGGAAGGGCCAUCGCUCAACGGAUAAAAGCUACCCUGGGGAUAACAGGCUGAUCUCCCCCAAGAGUCCACAUCGACGGGGAGGUUUGGCACCUCGAUGUCGGCUCAUCACAUCCUGGGGCUGUAGUUGGUCCCAAGGGUUGGGCUGUUCGCCCAUUAAAGUGGUACGCGAGCUGGGUUCAGAACGUCGUGAGACAGUUCGGUCCCUAUCCGUCGCAGGCGUAGGAAAUUUGAGGAGACCUGUCCUUAGUACGAGAGGACCGGGAUGGACGUACCGCUGGUGUACCAGUUGUUCUGCCAAGGGCAUGGCUGGGUAGCUAAGUACGGAAAGGAUAAGCGCUGAAAGCAUCUAAGCGCGAAGCCCACUUCAAGAUAAGAUUUCCCACCGCAAGGUUAAGAUCCCAGGAAGACUACCUGGUUGAUAGGUCAGAGGUGUAAGUACAGUAAUGUAUUUAGCUUACUGAUACUAAUAGAUCGAGGACUUGAUCA